ACGAAGGCAAUUUUCUUUCUGGCCAUUCAGGGAGAGGGGUGUUCCAGUUUCAGGAACAGAAUUAAGGGAGCAAGCUGGUGUUCACCGCACCCUCCAGUGAUCUCUGAUGAUAUGAGGGGAUAAUGGGUUACAAAGACAGACAUUAAUAAGCUACUUGUGCAAGAAGUUACAAUGAGAAAAAAAAAUUGCAAGAAAUAGAUGAGGGAAGGAGGUGCUGUAGAGAGAAAAACAAAGAGAGAAAAGGAGAAUGAAUUGUGCUGAGAUAGAGAUGCCUGGAUGAAAAAGCUGGCCCUAGCACCCAUAAAGCUGGAAAGAAAGUGGGGCCUUGGAAACUUCUGGAAGGAUGUGAGGAAAGAAAAAGGCAAGGAAAUGAGAUGGAGAGGAGAAAGAGAAACCAGGAAGCACUUCAGAAGCAUGUAAAUUGCAAGGAAAUGAGGAACAGCCUUUGUCUGUGAAGUCUGUGCUAGUGCUGAGAGCUUCAUUUUACUGUCCUGGCAAGGAGGUGUGGCCCCUCUCCAGUGCCCAGCACCUCAUUGCUAUGGUAACAGAAGACACGCUGAUUAUCCGGAUUUUGCCUCAGAGACUUAG
RNAcentral lists this long non-coding RNA (588 nucleotides) under Pongo abelii (Sumatran orangutan). Its description in RNAcentral is "lincRNA". Lineage: Eukaryota; Metazoa; Chordata; Mammalia; Primates; Hominidae. The record is from RNAcentral.